AUGCAAGUCGAACGGUAGUAAGGUGCUUGCACCUUAUGAGAGUGGCAAACGGGUGAGUAACACGUAGGUGAUCUACCGUAAAGUUGGGGAUAGGGUGUGGAAACACAGGGUAAUACCGGAUAAUUCUUAUUGUUUGCGGACGAUAAGGGAAAGGGGCCACGGCCCUGCUUUUCGAAGAGCCUGCGUUCCAUUAGUUAGUUGGCAGGGUAACGGCCUACCAAGGCGACGAUGGAUAGCCGGCCUGAGAGGGUGACCGGCCACACCGGGACUGAGACACUGCCCGGACCUCCACGGAGGGCUGCAGCAACGAAUCAUCCGCAAUGCGCGAAAGCGUGACGGUGCGACGCCGCGUGCGGGACGAAGCCCCUAGGGGUGUAAACCGCUGUCAGGGGAAACCACACCGAUAGGGCAAAUAGUCCUUGAGGUAGAGGGAACCCAGAGGAAGCCACGGCUAACUCUGUGCCAGCAGCCGCGGUAAGACAGAGGUGGCUAGCGUUGCUCGGAAUCACUGGGCUUAAAGGGUGCGUAGGCGGCUUAUCAAGCAUUAUGUGAAAGCCCUCGGCUCAACUGAGGAAAUUGCAUAAUGAACUGGUAAGCUUGAGGUGCGUCGGGGCCGGAAGAACUCUGGGUGGAGCGGUGAUAUGCGUAGAUAUCCAGGGGAAUGCCAGUGGCGAAGGCGUCCGGCUAGGCGCAAUCUGACGCUAAGGCACGAAAGCGUGGGUAGCGAACGGGAUUAGAUACCCCGGUAGUCCACGCUGUAAACGUUGUGCACUGGUUUCGGGAACCUCUGACGGUUUCCGGAGCGUAGAAAAAUCGUUAAGUGCACCGCCUGGGGACUACGGCCGCAAGGCUAAAACUCAAAGGAAUUGACGGGGGCUCACACAAGCGGUGGAGCAUGUGGCUUAAUUCGAGGCAACGCGAAGAACCUUACCUGGGUUUGACAUGUACGGAUGCCCCCCUGGAAACAGGGUGUGGUUGCCCUCGUGGUGAAACGUACACAGGUGCUGCAUGGCUGUCGUCAGCUCGUGCCGUGAGGUGUUGGGUUAAGUCCCGUAACGAGCGAAACCCCUAUCUUUAGUUGCCAGUUCCGAUUUAUCGGAAGGCACUCUAACGAGACUGCCGGCGUCAAGCCGGAGCCCGGUGGGGACGACGUCAAGUCAUCAUGGCCUUUAUACCCAGGGAUGCACACGUGCUACAAUGCCAGGUACAAAGUGACGCGAAGCCGCGAGGUGGAGCAAAUCGCACAUAACCUGGCCCAGUUCAGAUUGCAGUCUGCAAUUCGACUGCAUGAAGUCGGAAUCGCUAGUA
Molecule: ribosomal RNA, 1308 nt
Filed under: uncultured organism
Description: bacterial SSU rRNA
Rfam family: Bacterial small subunit ribosomal RNA
Source: RNAcentral